AUCUCUCAUCAGGACCAGUCUGACUGCACCUGCAUCCUUAGCUCAGAGCAUCCCUGGAGCAUCUAAGAGGAAAGCGCAGCUAGCAACCAGGGAUCGUACUGCAGGGGCAAUCGGUCAUGCACCUUCCCCUCCCCUGAUCUGGAGGUCUACAGCCGCGGCCUCGGUACUGACCGAGAUUCCCAAAGUUGUCUGACCUCUGCAAAAGUGUUUCUAUCAACAGCCUCUGAUUACAACAUGGCUGAGAUCACAAAUAUACGCCCCAGCUUUGGGGUGUGCUGGAGAGCUUCGCGUACCUACAAGGAAUACUUGCACUGGUCAGCAUCCUUCUGUGGGCCUGCAAUCCUAACCGACAAGGGCACAGAAGGCAGCUGUGCUCACACGGCUCUGAGAGCUCCCUUCACAGGCACUCCUCUGACCCAAGGAGUAACAACACACAGAACAAGCAGCAAGGCACAACUCCUUUCCUCGGAGGGGCAACUGGACAGCCUUUAACCCUUUAAAAACCAGGGACUGAUUUUCACGGGUUCUGACUUCAGCACUGCAUCAUCCAGAUAAAAAAACAUUACACUUUGGUUAUUCGCUCUGGAUGCCAGUGAGAUGUCUCAAUAGACAAACCUGCCCCUGAGCCUGCUGAUGGCCUGAACUUACUUCCUGGGACCCACAUGGUAGAGGGAGAAACAACAGCCAAAGCUGUCCGGUGUACUAUGGUAAGUACUUUACCAAUGAGCUACAUGCCCGGUCUCCUUGAAUGUAUAGAAGACAGAGAGAAUAAAUUACAAAUCUCCUGUGCCCUAAGAAUCACAGCAAACACAUUAAAGACUCGAGUCUUUCACUGCCAAUCUCAACCUGGACUUGACACAGUCAUCUCCUACCAGUCUUCUUGGCGGUUUUAUGAGGGCUGCAGUCAAUGCUGACUUGGGUGAAGUCUUCAAUGAGCCGCAUAGCUCCCAUCCAGUUACAAGGCUGGAAUAAGGUCUGGAACCUGGGGUUGAACUGCUGGUGAAGGGCAAUGGAAUUCUCAGCAAAGGUGCCCAGCUCUUUCUGGGAAGAAAGGACACAAAGGAGUUCUCAGACACCUCCAGAUCCUAGCAGUGACCUCAAGGUCUCCAAAGAAGAUGAUGGGUCACAGAAGAACUCCACCUGGAACAUGCUUUAACUGUGGCGAGGACAGCUUCUAUGAAACACUGCCCUUCACCUUGCCCACGGCACAGCCUCUACGAACUGAGGACCAAGUGCGAUACUGGGGAGCUGACUGGCCCACUUUGCCUAGACAACAUAGACUGGUCCUCCAAGCCCCUCCUCCACAGGAAGGUCUGUUGGAUCUUUUGGGCCUGAUGGCCAAAGGCUGUCCAUAGAGCUUGAUUGUCAGGUAGCCAGUAAGGAUCUAUUAUGUUUAAUAGACUCAGGACCUACUUGAUGUAUACUUAUUGAAUCACUGUUGGGUUCCGAGCUCCUACUAUGACUCAAACACGUGAGUCUAUUGACUUUUCUGCAAUGUGGAUCUCAAUAGAAAUUACACAGUGGUAAUGCUAACAUAUGUAAAAUUUUAUCUUUUGAUAAACUUAAAAUUCUUGUAAGUUGAAUGGAACUGAUUUGAAUUGUCCUCUCCCAGGUAAAAUAGACUCCAUAUAAAUACUGUCAC
RNAcentral lists this long non-coding RNA (1642 nucleotides) under Mus musculus (house mouse). Its description in RNAcentral is "RIKEN cDNA 1500004A13 gene". Lineage: Eukaryota; Metazoa; Chordata; Mammalia; Rodentia; Muridae. The record is from RNAcentral.